UACUCUUGGAUAUAAAUCAGCUCUCUGUUGCUAAGAAUCAAGAACAACAGACUGAUCCGUCAGAUGGGACUCUGAAUGAUUUACUCAACGCUAAGAUCACUUUUAAAUGCAAGAAGACCCUUGCUUUGAAUAUGACCGGGUCAUGACUCAGUCAUAUGAACCAGUUUCUUGUUGUGUCAGACAAGACUGCUACCUCCCACCUCUCCCUUUCACUAUCAGACUGGCUGCCCUCUCCAUCCAGCAAGUCCUACUCAAAGUGUUCAUCAAGAACGCUGGCAGACUUCCUCCCAAUUUGUAUGAAAACAAUGACAGUGGCUGUGAAACAAGGCCAGCGGGGGCCUGACAACAUGGGCCUCAAGCAAACACUGCCAAACCAGAAUGAAAUGAAUACUUUUUUAGAAAAGAAAAACUGCAAAAGACACUAUUUAAAGCAAGGGCUCCAUAUAGGCAAAACUGUAUUAAGUUCCUUUUGUUAAAGGAACACUUGGAACAGUUGGGUUCAUUUGUAUAGCCUUUUUGUUUCAUUAAAGAUUUUUGACCUUG
Long non-coding RNA from Acanthopagrus latus (yellowfin seabream), 543 nucleotides. RefSeq lists it as uncharacterized. The transcript has 2 exons. NCBI's taxonomy places the organism in Eukaryota, Metazoa, Chordata, Actinopteri, Spariformes, Sparidae. The record is from RefSeq and is a predicted model, not a curated record.